UACGUAGGGGGCAAGCGUUAUCCGGAUUUACUGGGUGUAAAGGGAGCGUAGACGGUGAUGCAAGUCAGAAGUGAAAGCCCGGGGCUCAACUCCGGGACUGCUUUUGAAACUGUGUAGCUGGAGUGCAGGAGAGGUAAGCGGAAUUCCUAGUGUAGCGGUGAAAUGCGUAGAUAUUAGGAGGAACACCAGUGGCGAAGGCGGCUUACUGGACUGUAACUGACGUUGAGGCUCGAAAGCGUGGGGAGCAAACAGG
Molecule: ribosomal RNA, 253 nt
Filed under: uncultured bacterium
Lineage: Bacteria
Description: partial 16S ribosomal RNA
Rfam family: Bacterial small subunit ribosomal RNA
Source: RNAcentral